CGAGAACCGAUCGGAACGGUGGUGAUGACAAGUGUAAUGUUGAUUUUAAUUCGUAUUCUUCUUCUUCUCUUUUAUCCGUUUAUUCUCCUCGGAUUCUUUCACAUGAUUUAAUGAAUGUAAAUAACUGUAACUCCAAUUGUGAAAAAAACAACGACAACAAUAAUGUUGUUGUUUUUGGUAGCAAAAAAUCCACCAACGUUUUUUCUUCCAAAGCUACUGCUCUUUCCCCUAAUAGGCCGCCUGCUGGUAAAUAUGGUAGGAAAAUGGAUGCCUAUCGAUCUGAUUCCACGAAUUCAAAUGGUGAAUGGAAGUUGCUCAAACACCAGUUUGGGAGAGCUCGUGGAGGAAUUGGAUCGUAAUGGGGUUGG
RNAcentral lists this unclassified non-coding RNA (368 nucleotides) under Hevea brasiliensis (rubber tree). Lineage: Eukaryota; Viridiplantae; Streptophyta; Magnoliopsida; Malpighiales; Euphorbiaceae. The record is from RNAcentral.